UACGUAGGGGGCGAGCGUUGUCCGGAAUUAUUGGGCGUAAAGCGCGCGCAGGCGGUUCCUUAAGUCUGAUGUGAAAGCCCACGGCUCAACCGUGGAAGGUCAUUGGAGACUGGGGGGCUUGAGUGCAGAAGAGGAGAGCGGAAUUCCACGUGUAGCGGUGAAAUGCGUAGAGAUGUGGAGGAACACCAGUGGCGAAGGCGGCUCUCUGGUUUGUAACUGACGCUCAGGCGCGAAAGCGUGGGGAGCAAACAGG
This 253-nucleotide ribosomal RNA is filed under the name uncultured bacterium. RNAcentral's name for it is "partial 16S ribosomal RNA". It matches the Rfam family "Bacterial small subunit ribosomal RNA", at positions 524 to 776 of the family's 1533-position model. The record is from RNAcentral.